RNAcentral lists this long non-coding RNA (984 nucleotides) under Zonotrichia albicollis (white-throated sparrow). RNAcentral's name for it is "lncRNA (ENSZALG00000008850.1)". The record is from RNAcentral. Lineage: Eukaryota; Metazoa; Chordata; Aves; Passeriformes; Passerellidae.
AGCACUGGUGACGCUCUCUCCACCAGGGCCGUGGCCACUGGGCCUUGUGGGAGCGGUGCCAGCCUGGGAGGCAGAACACCUUGUUUAUAAUGAGCCAUGCAGCUGAUGGUGCCAGGAAGUUCUGUGCUAAUGAAUGGCUACAAAGUUCUCUGCAAGCCCUUCAGAUGAAACACCCACAGGAGCACAGCGGAGGGUGCAGUCACCUCUCAAAGGACGCUGUGUGCUGCCAGCCAGGACCCGAAGGCUUUGCUGUGCUGGAUUCAGAUCAGAUACAGAGCUAUGGGUAUUUCUCCUGGGGAUGGGGCAAGGUUUUGCCUUCAGUCCUGGAAGUUGUGGGUCUAGCACUCAAUGGAGCCACACCAACGUCCCGGUCCCUGUCUCCGGGACGCAGAUGCAUUUACUUGGCACAAACCCUUCACAGCAUCAGUACAGGAGGAGAAGCCUCUGAUCUGACUCAACUCAGCCUCCAAGUCCCUGUCUGCAGUACACAUCUGCUGCUGAAUCUGGCACUGGAGCUGCUCAGUGUCCCUUGGCCUCCCUCCAUCCACGCAGCCGACAGCGCCCUGCUCCUCAGGCAGGACUCGCUUGCAAUCCCCUCUCACUCUGGAGCCCAGAAGUGAAGCAGAAGGUAGGAAAGCCAGGCUGGGGUCUGUCUCACUUUGGACCUUUUGCUCUGCCUGGAGGUGGUGGAAUCCAUGCCCAGCUCGGUCUGAGGCAAGAGCAGAUGCCUUUGUGACAGCCUCAGCAGGUGUCCUGAGCAAGCUGGGAGCAGUUUCUGUGUGGCAGCCCUAUCAGGGCUGUGGCAGUUUUGUUCCUGUCCCGAUGGGUUGCUCUGGUGAGAUGCCACAGCAUGGUGGGACAUGCUGGUUGCCAAGGACAGGGAUGUGCUGUGACAGAGAUGUCUCCUCAACUCCCCCAAAUUUGAAAGUGGUGCUUUAUUAACUAAGGAGAGCAAUAAAGUGCACAGAGUCGUUGUUCUGAGCA